Non-coding RNA from Lonchura striata (white-rumped munia), 228 nucleotides. The record is from RefSeq and is a predicted model, not a curated record. NCBI's taxonomy places the organism in Eukaryota, Metazoa, Chordata, Aves, Passeriformes, Estrildidae.
CAGGCAUUCUGCCUAAAAGGAAAAUCGUGUUGUUCAUGCAUUUAGCACUUCUUCAGAGAGACCUGCCUCUGGAGGCCAUGAGAUGAUAUUUACCCUGUUGAGACGAAAACAUAAGUAGGAUACCUUUGAGAAGGCAUCCAGAUUUCUUGGCAGGAUAAACCUUGUCUCUCUGAGGCACUGCUGUAUCAUCAAAAUGUGCAAAAAUAAAGAAUAUCAGCUUUGAAAGGC